RNAcentral lists this ribosomal RNA (492 nucleotides) under uncultured bacterium. RNAcentral describes it as "partial 16S ribosomal RNA". It matches the Rfam family "Bacterial small subunit ribosomal RNA", at positions 29 to 507 of the family's 1533-position model. The record is from RNAcentral.
AGUGAACGCUGGCGGUAGGCCUAACACAUGCAAGUCGAACGGCAGCACAGUAAGAGCUUGCUCUUACGGGUGGCGAGUGGCGGACGGGUGAGGAAUACAUCGGAAUCUACUUUUUCGUGGGGGAUAACGUAGGGAAACUUACGCUAAUACCGCAUACGACCUACGGGUGAAAGCAGGGGAUCUUCGGACCUUGCGCGAUUGAAUGAGCCGAUGUCGGAUUAGCUAGUUGGCGGGGUAAAGGCCCACCAAGGCGACGAUCCGUAGCUGGUCUGAGAGGAUGAUCAGCCACACUGGAACUGGGACACGGUCCAGACUCCUCCGAGAGGCAGCAGUGGGGAAUAUUAGACAAUGGGCGCAAGCCUGAUCCAGCCAUACCGCGUAGGUGAAGAAGGCCUUCGGGUUGUAAAGACCUUUUGUUGGGAAAGAAAAGCAGCAGGUUAAUACCCCGCUGUUCUGACGGUACCCAAGGAAUAAGCACCGGCUAACUUCGUG